AGUGGGGAAUAUUGGACAAUGGGCGAAAGCCUGAUCCAGCAAUACCGCGUGAGGGAUGAAGGCCUAUGGGUUGUAAACCUCUUUUCUCAAGGAGGAAGAUAUGACGUUACUUGAGGAAUAAGCAUCGGCUAACCCUGUGCCAGCAGCCGCGGUAAUACAGGGGAUGCAAGUGUUAUCCGGAAUCAUUGGGCGUAAAGCGUCUGCAGGUUGACUUUUAAGUCUUUUGUUAAAGCUCUGGGCUUAACCUAGAAUAUGCAAAGGAAACUAUCUGUCUUGAGUAUGGUAGAGGUAAAGGGAAUUUCCAGUGGAGCGGUGAAAUGCUUAGAUAUUGGAAAGAACACCAACAGCGAAGGCACUUUACUGGGCCAGUACUGACACUGAGAGACGAAAGCUAGGGGAGCAAACGGGAUUAGAUACCCCGGUAGUCCUAGCUGUAAACGAUGGAUACUAGAUGUUGUGCUUAAGAAAAAGUACAGUGUCGUAGCUAACGCGUUAAGUAUCCCGCCUGGGAAGUAUGCUCGCAAGAGUG
RNAcentral lists this ribosomal RNA (529 nucleotides) under uncultured bacterium. RNAcentral's name for it is "bacterial SSU rRNA". It matches the Rfam family "Bacterial small subunit ribosomal RNA", at positions 353 to 896 of the family's 1533-position model. The record is from RNAcentral.